Molecule: RNase P RNA, 360 nt
Filed under: Enterococcus sp. MMGLQ5-1
Lineage: Bacteria; Bacillati; Bacillota; Bacilli; Lactobacillales; Enterococcaceae
Also listed under: 1 other name
Description: RNase P RNA component class B
Rfam family: Bacterial RNase P class B
About the family: Ribonuclease P (RNase P) is a ubiquitous endoribonuclease, found in archaea, bacteria and eukarya as well as chloroplasts and mitochondria. Its best characterised activity is the generation of mature 5'-ends of tRNAs by cleaving the 5'-leader elements of precursor-tRNAs.
Source: RNAcentral
GUUUUUGAGUAAUCGCGGUAGAUUUUUUUCUACUGAGGAAAGUCCAUGCUCGCACAAGCUGAGAUGCUUGUAGUGUUCGUGCUAGAUGAAACAAUAAGUCUAGGCGCAGAAGCGACGGCAGAUAAAAGAGCUAAGGUUUCGACUAUGCUUGAGUAGUCUUGAAAGUGCCACAGUGACGAAGUAUUUUUUGAAAAAAAAAUAGUGGAACGCGGUAAACCCCUCGAGCGAGCAACCCAAACUUAUGGUAGGGGCACUGAAUGAAUGGAAAUGAACGGCAAUUCAGGCUGAAAAGCAGAUAGAUGAUUACUGAUUUGUAUACAGGACCUAAUGUAUACAUUGAACAGAACAUGGCUUAUAGAA